GAUGAACGCUGGCGGCGUGCCUAAUACAUGCAAGUCGAACGCAUUGAGAGAAGUGCUUGCACUUUUCAAUUUGAGUGGCGAACGGGUGAGUAACACGUGGGCAACCUACCUGAUAGCGGGGGAUAACGAGUGGAAACAUUCGCUAAUACCGCAUAACAAUAGAGAAGGCAUCUUCUUUAUUUAAAAGGCGCUUUCAAGCGUCACUAUAAGAUGGACCCGCGGUGCAUUAGUUAGUUGGUGGGGUGAAGGCCUACCAAGACGAUGAUGCAUAGCCGAGUUGAGAGAAUGAUCGGCCACAUUGGGACUGAGACACGGCCCAAACUCCUACGGGAGGCUGCAGUAGGGAAUCUUCCACAAUGGACGAAAGUCUGAUGGAGCAACGCCGCGUGUGUGAUGAAGGCUUUCGGGUCGUAAAGCACUGUUGUAUGGGAAGAAAUGCUAGGCUAGGAAAUGAGCUUAGUUUGACGGUACCAUACCAGAAAGGGACGGCUAAAUACGUGCCAGCCGCCGCGGUAA
Molecule: ribosomal RNA, 516 nt
Filed under: uncultured bacterium
Lineage: Bacteria
Description: partial 16S ribosomal RNA
Rfam family: Bacterial small subunit ribosomal RNA
Source: RNAcentral